UUACGACGAAUUUACGAGGAAUAUUGCUCUCCUGAAAAAAAUAAAUUUUCUUGCGGUGAUGGAACGUUACCGAAUGCAGAGUGAAGAACAUAUUCCAUGCAAUGUGUUUCUUUCAUCAACCGGUCCGGUUAUUUUCAAACCGGUGGAGAAUCAAUCAAGUUUUAAACAAAUUAUUAUCAUACCCGAAUAUUUCGGUUACCGGGAGAUCCGGGCUACCCUCUCUCUUGUCGGGACAUCGCAUGAAGAAGUUGAGUUAGGCGUUGACUUUAUUAUUUCACUCACACUGGCUAGUGACAUAACAAGAGAUCAAUGACUAUCGACGAUCAAUCACACUUGAAGAAAGAGGGAGAAAAUAGUACGAAUCCUAAGAUCAAUAGGUACUGGAUUCAACGUUACGAUCUGUUCUCGAGGUAUGACGAAGGUAUCCAAAUAGAUGAAGAAGGAUGGUACUCUGUGACUCAUGAAGAGAUCGCCAUCAAACACGCAGAGAGGUGCCGUGGAAAAGUGGUGAUUGAUUGCUUCGCAGGCGUUGGUGGUAACACUAUUCAAUUUGCUAAAGUUUCUUCUUCUGUAAUCGCUAUCGACAUUGAUCCAAUGAAAGUUCAAAUGGCUAUGAACAAUGCAAACGUCUAUGGAGUUGCUAAUCAUGUGGAUUUUGUCGUUGGUGAUUUCUUCAGUUUAGCUCCAUCUCUCAAAGGAGAUGUAUCGUUUCUUGCGCCACCAUGGGGAGGACCAAAUUAUUGCAAAGUCGAGAGUUUCAAGAUGGAUAUGCUUCAGCCAAGAGACGGGUACUCAUUGUUUAAGAUUGUUCAGUCCAUUACUCCUAAUAUCAUCAUGUAUCUACCGAAAAAUGUUGAUUUAGCACAGUUGGAAGAACUGGCUUCCCUCUCGUCACCUCCCCUAACUCUUGAGAUAGAAGAAAGUUGUAUUGGAGGCAAAAUGAUAGCCAUAACGGCUUAUUUUAGUCGCAAUGCGGCUUAGCUGAGAAAUUUGAACUUGCAUCAAAAAGGAACUAUCUUUUCUGCAGCAGGGGAUAGAUGAAUUGACUCCUGAAGGAGAUUCUAUCACAUGGAUAUUUGAUACAAAUUCAAUGCAUCAUUCGUAGAAAAUAAAGAAUUCACUCUCCUUUCCCGUUAGUUUAUUCGGUUAGACUCCGUUGAUAUCGACUGUAAAAAAGUCGAGCACUGAUGAGUGAUGACAAAAUUUAUGGUACAAACAAACAAACCCAUUUGAAAAGUUCAAAAGCCCUACCCGCUCCCUUGCAGACAACCUAAUCUCAAUCUUGUUUUCACUGGUAUCCGACCGCUGUGUCGGUGCCGGUGUGACCUCUUUCUCUUUACUUUUGUGUAUUGCUUUGGUUUUUCUCUGGAGACUCUUCUCCAUCUCAUGUCUACAUGUUUGCUUGCUCUGUUGUCUCGGUGACGACGUCUCUGUUCGACUGUUCGGAAUGGAGGCGUUCGAAGGGCAGGUAGUGGAGUAACGACAAGACAUGUGUGAAGGCGUUGGCAGCUCCAGAUCUUUGUCUUUUUUUGCUCACUGGAUUUGGAGUGUGUAGAUCCAUCCGGCUUUCGUUCUCAUUGGUUGGUUUGGAUCAAUAACCAGUACUUGCUUCAAGGGCCUUGUUGAUUUGUUUACUAUCGAAUCACCUCUCGAUCGUGGGUUUGGCGAGUAAGAGAAGCUUUGUUCUUCGGUUCUCGUUGACGAAUCGCGUAUUAAUCACCGGCUCUGUUGGACCAUCCCAGCAUCAUCGUUUGGGCUGUGUCCUUCUCGUUGAUGGGUCAAAAUCUUUUGCUUCUCUUUUGCAUGUAUCAGUGUGGCAGAGACGUCUCGUCUGUCAUUUGCUUUGUUUGCGUGGCUCUUGGAAUCAGAGAUAGGGGAGACAUGACAUCCGUUCUUCCAAGUCGUUAGUUUCAACGUUCCUUGCCGUUUGAUUCAUUUUAUUGGAAGUUAAGAAUCUAUUAAAAUAGAUUCCUAUUUAAAAUUUGUCCUUGGUACACAAUAUUUGGUCCACUUAAUACACUAUUUAUUCCAAUGGAUUAAUUCUCUGUUCAAA
Molecule: RNA transcript, 2053 nt
Organism: Brassica rapa (field mustard)
Lineage: Eukaryota; Viridiplantae; Streptophyta; Magnoliopsida; Brassicales; Brassicaceae
Gene name: trimethylguanosine synthase
Source: RefSeq, a predicted model, not a curated record